RNAcentral lists this long non-coding RNA (231 nucleotides) under Gossypium raimondii (Peruvian cotton). Its description in RNAcentral is "long non-coding RNA (GRAI_LNC003538)". Lineage: Eukaryota; Viridiplantae; Streptophyta; Magnoliopsida; Malvales; Malvaceae. The record is from RNAcentral.
AGGUCCAUUUCGGCUUGUCCUUGGGCUAAUCUUUCAUGUCUUCUUCGUCUUAAUGUUCGCUCGAUUUCAGGGUCUACGGGUAAUAAAUCGAUAAUUCGAUAUACGCUCAUAAACUCCCGAAAAUAAAUCACAAAAAUUAAAGAAUAAAGAAUAAAAAGUAAUUAGUAAAGAUAGAAAUAAAAUAAAAUAAAAUAAAAAACGAAUCACAAAGAAUAAUUUCAAAAAAAUGAU